Molecule: ribosomal RNA, 466 nt
Filed under: uncultured bacterium
Lineage: Bacteria
Description: partial 16S ribosomal RNA
Rfam family: Bacterial small subunit ribosomal RNA
Source: RNAcentral
GACGAACGCUGGGGCGUGCUUAACACAUGCAAGUCGAACGGAAAGGCCUCUUUCGGGGGGUACUCGAGUGGCGAACGGGUGAGUAACACGUGAGUAACCUGCCCUUGACUUUGGGAUAACUUCAGGAAACUGGGGCUAAUACCGGAUAGGAGCUCCUGCUGCAUGGUGGGGGUUGGAAAGUUUCGGCGGUUGGGGAUGGACUCGCGGCUUAUCAGCUUGUUGGUGGGGUAGUGGCUUACCAAGGCUUUGACGGGUAGCCGGCCUGAGAGGGUGACCGGCCACAUUGGGACUGAGAUACGGCCCAGACUCCUACGGGAGGCAGCAGUGGGGAAUAUUGCACAAUGGGUGGAAGCCUGAUGCAGCAACGCCGUGUGCGGGAUGACGGCCUUCGGGUUGUAAACCGCUUUCGCUCAUGACGAAGCUUUGUGUGACGGUAGUGGGUAAAGAAGCACCGGCUAACUACGUG